This 486-nucleotide ribosomal RNA is filed under the name uncultured bacterium. RNAcentral's name for it is "partial 16S ribosomal RNA". It matches the Rfam family "Bacterial small subunit ribosomal RNA", at positions 28 to 507 of the family's 1533-position model. The record is from RNAcentral.
GAUGAACGCUGGCGGCGUGCCUAAUACAUGCAAGUCGAACGCUGGAGCUCUAGCUUGCUAGAUCGAAGGAGUGGCGAACGGGUGAGUAAUACAUAAGCAACCUACCCACGAAGACUGGGAUAAUCUCUGGAAACGGGGACUAAUACCGGAUAGGUAAUCGGAAGGCAUCUUCUGGUUAUUAAAGGUUAAAAACACUGGUGGAUGGGCUUAUGGCGCAUUAGUUAGUUGGUGAGGUAACGGCCCACCAAGACGAUGAUGCGUAGCCGGCCUGAGAGGGUGAACGGCCACAUUGGGACUGAGACACGGCCCAGACUCCUACGGGAGGCAGCAGUAGGGAAUUUUCAGCAAUGGGGGCAACCCUGACCGAGCAACGCCGCGUGAGUGAAGACGGCCUUCGGGUUGUAAAGCUCUGUUGUAAGGGAAGAACGGUAGAUAGAGAAUAUCUAAGUGACGGUACCUUACCAGAAAGCCACGGCUAACUACGUG